UACGGAAGGGGCUAGCGUUGUUCGGAAUUACUGGGCGUAAAGCGCACGUAGGCGGCUUUGUAAGUUAGAGGUGAAAGCCCGGGGCUCAACUCCGGAAUUGCCUUUAAGACUGCAUCGCUAGAAUUGUGGAGAGGUAAGUGGAAUUCCGAGUGUAGAGGUGAAAUUCGUAGAUAUCCGAAAGAACACCGGUGGCGAAGGCGACUCGCUGGGCUCUUGCUGACACUGAAUCACGACAGCGUGGGGAGCAAACAGG
Molecule: ribosomal RNA, 253 nt
Filed under: uncultured bacterium
Lineage: Bacteria
Description: partial 16S ribosomal RNA
Rfam family: Bacterial small subunit ribosomal RNA
Source: RNAcentral